Loxodonta africana (African savanna elephant) is the source of this 450-nucleotide long non-coding RNA. RefSeq lists it as uncharacterized. Lineage: Eukaryota; Metazoa; Chordata; Mammalia; Proboscidea; Elephantidae. The record is from RefSeq and is a predicted model, not a curated record. The transcript is spliced from 2 exons.
UCUACCCACACGCUUCCUCUUGUUUCCCGCCCACCUGGCCACUCUAUCCGCCGCGAACUUCUCUAUGAUUCUCCGCCUCCCCCCGAUUGUUAUCUCGGCCAUCCACCUCCCGCACCCGUCGCUUCCGGUAUCUGGGCUUCCCUUCUGGUUCUGCUGAACGGAAAGGGCGGCCAGAGGGAGAAUGCCUUUACAGAAGAGCUGGCAACGGUGAAGGAGGUACCGUGAUUUCUAAGGGAAGACCCCAGGAAGAAGAAAAUAUUAUGAAAUUGUCAUGAGAAAAGCUGAUCAAGGAAUGUAGAGGGAGAUGUAUUAUACAGCUGUGUCAGGCGGUAAAUUAAUAAAAAUAUUGUGUAUAUUUUAAGAAUUUGGGGUUGCAUAUGGUGAGUGUUAUCUUUUCAAUUUUGUAUUUGGUUGAGAUUUAUUUUCUCAAAAUAAACAUUCAUAUGCAUA